Molecule: long non-coding RNA, 380 nt
Filed under: Fukomys damarensis (Damara mole-rat)
Lineage: Eukaryota; Metazoa; Chordata; Mammalia; Rodentia; Bathyergidae
Description: lncRNA (ENSFDAG00000033283.1)
Source: RNAcentral
GUUAACCUAGCCGCUUACACAGUUUCCAGUGCCUCCGAGGGGCCGGGACUCAUGGAGGUCGGAGUUUCAAAGAUGUUCCGUGGAAGCUGCUGGAGACACAAUAACCAUUUUGAGGAGGAGAGCCAAGCUGUCUGGAACCACUGUCUGCAAGGGCUUCUCUCCCAUCCCAGCAAGGGUACCCCGCAAUCAGAGCACCUCUGGCCGUGGGCUGCCCGGAUAAACACUGAGGGAGGCGGAGUGGUCAUUAGCUGAGGGCAGAGACUCUAGCGGUCCCCACGCAGCCCGAAGUGAGUGCAGCUCUUGCCCUCGAUCUCCUGGGAACUCUGUGAUGUGAGGGGGAAGAGGUCAGGGCUCAGCCAGGUCACGGUGCACAGCGGGAG